This is a long non-coding RNA of Gallus gallus (chicken), 989 nucleotides long. The record is from Ensembl. NCBI's taxonomy places the organism in Eukaryota, Metazoa, Chordata, Aves, Galliformes, Phasianidae.
AACCUUCUCCUGGAUAAGCUAUUAGCUCGAGAUGCUCAUGGCAGCUUUCCCAGACCUCAAUCUGUACUUAUAGCUCUUUCCUGAACCACUUCCAAUUUUCCUUUUUUUUUUUUUUUUUUUCCCCUCCUCCUACCCCAAUGUCUCUUCUGAAAUGGGGACAGCAGAAUGCGACAAUCACUGGUCAGGUCUCAAAUGCCAUAGGUGAAGGAAAUGCCAUCUUCCUUCCCACACCGUCUUGUUUCGUGGACCCGAGGGGUGGUGGUGGGAAUCCUACCGUUGGCUGUGACUCCAAGCACGUCUUGGGAUUUGAGGCUCUCUGGGAGCAGCCAGUAUUCCAAGGCAGAUACUUCUCAGAAUUGAUUUAACCGAGUGACUUUCAACUGUUUCCAUUCUGGAAGAACUAAGAAAUUCUUUGUCCGUCCCCUGCCUGAGCCAUCCACGUCCCUGGAACAUUCUUGUUUAGUCUCCUGAAAUGUUAUUAACAACCCCAGCGACAGAGAACCAUAAAUCCCUGCAUCCCCCUGAACUUUACUGCGCUCCGAACUGUUUGGAUAUUCAGUAUCAACAAAUCAUCCCGAUAAAUAUGAUUUCUUUGAUGGCAUUUCAUCAAAAUAGUUUACGACUCUGACAUUUUGAGCGUGGAUUUACAGCAGCUGCAGCUUGUGCAAGACGGGCGGUCACCUUAUUGAAAUUCACCUAAGGAGAAGAAUGGAAAAAGAAAGUCACAGCAGCUCCUCCAAUGCUAAGUUUAAAGAGAUUCUUCUUCUUCUUUCCCACACUUUCUUGGAAACAGCAGGAGUUUGGGGAUCCGCAAGACAAACAUUGGCUUUGGCUCAUCCCAGUCAUGAUGAGGAUGAGAGCAGGCCUCCAGCUCCAAGUUCCCAAGCAGAUGCAGGGAGAGGUUUCCAGAUUCACUUAGCUCAGUGAUGGCCAUAGGUGGUUCACCACUUGUUUCUGUUGGGAAGUGGCUCAUCUGGUUUGUAUGCAUC